Molecule: ribosomal RNA, 569 nt
Filed under: Lodderomyces orthopsilosis
Lineage: Eukaryota; Fungi; Ascomycota; Pichiomycetes; Serinales; Debaryomycetaceae
Description: Candida orthopsilosis partial large subunit ribosomal RNA
Rfam family: Eukaryotic large subunit ribosomal RNA
Source: RNAcentral
AAACCAACAGGGAUUGCCUUAGUAGCGGCGAGUGAAGCGGCAAAAGCUCAAAUUUGAAAUCUGGCACUUUCAGUGUCCGAGUUGUAAUUUGAAGAAGGUAUCUUUGGGUCUGGCUCUUGUCUAUGUUUCUUGGAACAGAACGUCACAGAGGGUGAGAAUCCCGUGCGAUGAGAUGUCCCAGACCUAUGUAAAGUUCCUUCGAAGAGUCGAGUUGUUUGGGAAUGCAGCUCUAAGUGGGUGGUAAAUUUCCAUCUAAAGCUAAAUAUUGGCGAGAGACCGAUAGCGAACAAGUACAGUGAUGGAAAGAUGAAAAGAACUUUGAAAAGAGAGUGAAAAAGUACGUGAAAUUGUUGAAAGGGAAGGGCUUGAGAUCAGACUUGGUAUUUUGUAUGUUACUCUCUCGGGGGUGGCCUCUACAGUUUACCGGGCCAGCAUCAGUUUGGGCGGUAGGACAAUUGCAAAGAAAUGUGGCACUGCCUCGGUAGUGUGUUAUAGUCUUUGUCGAUACUGCCAGCCUAGACUGAGGACUGCGGCUUCGGCCUAGGAUGUUGGCAUAAUGAUCUUAAGUC